CCGUGAAAAAAUUAGAGUGUUCAAAGCAGGCAGAUCCAAUUUUCUGCCACCGAAUACAUUAGCAUGGGAUAAUGGAAUAGGACCCUGUCCUCCUAUUUUCAGUUGGUUUGCCGCGAGGACCAGGGUAAUGAUUAAUAGGGAUAGUUGGGGGCAUUAAUAUUUAAUUGUCAGAGGUGAAAUUCUUGGAUUUAUGAAAGAUUAACUUCUGCGAAAGCAUCUGCCAAGGAUGUUUUCAUUAAUCAAGAACGAAAGUUAGGGGAUCGAAGACGAUCAGAUACCGUCGUAGUCUUAACCAUAAACGAUGCCGACCAGCGAUUAGGAGACGUUGAAUACAAAACACCACCAUGCGCAUUGCGGUCGUCUUUGGUGUCGCUCACAAGGCGACACCGGGCGCUAGCUCGCUAGGCCCCGUGA
This 414-nucleotide ribosomal RNA is filed under the name Acanthamoeba sp. AVL-6. Its description in RNAcentral is "SSU rRNA". The stretch from base 1 to 372 matches the Rfam family "Eukaryotic small subunit ribosomal RNA", at positions 755 to 1116 of the family's 1831-position model. Lineage: Eukaryota; Discosea; Longamoebia; Acanthamoebidae. The record is from RNAcentral.